UACGAAGGGGGCUAGCGUUGCUCGGAAUGACUGGGCGUAAAGGGCGCGUAGGCGGUUUGUACAGUCAGACGUGAAAUUCCCGGGCUCAACCUGGGGACUGCGUUUGAGACGUACAGGCUUGAGUGUGAAAGAGGGUCGUGGAAUUCCCAGUGUAGAGGUGAAAUUCGUAGAUAUUGGGAAGAACACCGGUGGCGAAGGCGGCGACCUGGUUCAUUACUGACGCUGAGGCGCGAAAGCGUGGGGAGCAAACAGG
Molecule: ribosomal RNA, 253 nt
Filed under: Acetobacteraceae bacterium
Lineage: Bacteria; Pseudomonadati; Pseudomonadota; Alphaproteobacteria; Acetobacterales; Acetobacteraceae
Also listed under: 2 other names
Description: partial 16S ribosomal RNA
Rfam family: Bacterial small subunit ribosomal RNA
Source: RNAcentral